This 253-nucleotide ribosomal RNA is filed under the name uncultured bacterium. RNAcentral describes it as "partial 16S ribosomal RNA". It matches the Rfam family "Bacterial small subunit ribosomal RNA", at positions 524 to 776 of the family's 1533-position model. The record is from RNAcentral.
UACGAAGGGGGCUAGCGUUGUUCGGAAUUACUGGGCGUAAAGCGCGCGCAGGCGGUUCUUCAAGUCAGUGGUGAAAGCCCGUCGCUUAACGGCGGAACUGCCAUUGAUACUGCUAGUCUUGAGUAUGGUUGAGGUGGGCGGAAUGUGUCAUGUAGCGGUGAAAUGCUUAGAUAUGACCCAGAACACCAAUUGCGAAGGCAGCUCGCUAAGCCAUAACUGACGCUGAGGCACGAAAGCGUGGGGAGCAAACAGG